NNUGUCCCUAUAUCCCAUAUAGGGCCGCCAUUUUCCUCGCUCCCCCCUGUCAAUCACGACCUUCGCCCUUCUGAUUGGCUCUCCGCCACGCCGCUCUUCCCCAUCACCAUUCCCAUUGGUUGCGCGGGUAGGCGGGACCACCGUAUUGAGGCUCCCCCAUUGGACGCAGCCUUUCCCGCUCGCGGGGCUGUGGGCGGGAUUAUCGGGCCGCUCCGCGCGCUGAUUGGUUGAGGGGCUGAGAGCGGGAAGACGGGGAGAAAAUGGCGGCCCUAAGAGGAGGGGGGGACAAAAUGGCGGCCGCUGAGGGGAGGGGGCGGAAGCUGUUGUCGCCUUCCCCACAAGUUCUAUGGGGUCUCGUCCCCCCAUCGCACUUCAUGGCCCCCAAAGCCAGGUUGAUUGACGUGGAGAAGGGGCGGAGCCAAGAGAUGGGGGCGGAGCUUGGUAUGCAAAUGAGGCGGAACGAAGACAUGGGGGCGGAGCUUGGUAUGCAAAUGAGGCCGAGCCAAGUGAUGGAGGCUGAGCUUGAAGCUGAUAGGGGGCGGAGCUUAAGGCUGGAGGCGGAGCUUGAUAUGCAAAUGAGGCGGAACAAAGAGCUGGAGGCGGAGCUUAAGGCUGAAAAGGGGCGGAGCCAAGAGAAGGGGGCGGAGCCUGAUGGAGAGACCCCAUUGCUCCGUGCUCAGCUCAGCGCCCUCAGCCACAUCCUGACCCUACAAGAGAAGGAGCUGAACAGGGAGGUGAGAAAUAGGGGACCCCAUAGGGGGGCUAUGGGGGGUAAUGGGGGCCUAUGGGGUGUAAUGGGGGUCCUGUGGGGUCCUAUGGGGUUCUAUGGGGUCCUAUGGGGUGUAAUGGGGUCCUAUGGGGUUCUAUGGGGUGUAAUGGGGGUCCUAUGGGGUCCUAUGGGGUUCUAUGGGGUCCUAUGAGGUGUAAUAGGGGUCCUAUGGGUUCCUAUGGGGUGUAAUGGGGUCCUAUGGGAUGUAAUGGUGGUCCUAUGGGGUCCUAUGGGGGGUAAUGGGGGUCCUAUGGGCUGUAAUGGGGGGCUAGGGGGUGUAAUGGGGGUCCUGUGGGGUCCUAUGGGGUUCUAUGGGGUCCUAUGGGGUGUAAUGGGGGUCCUAUGGGGUGUGAUGGUGUGUAAUGGGGUCCUAUGGGGUGUAAUGGGGGUCCUAUGGGGUGUAAUGGGGAUCCUAUGGGGUGUAAUGGGGUGUAAUAGGGUCCUAUGGGGUGUAAUGGGGGUCCUAUGGGGUGUAAUGGGGGUCCUAUGAAGUGUAAUAGGGGUCCUAUGGGUUCCUAUGGGGUGUAAUGGGGUGUAAUGGGGUCCUAUGGGGUGUAAUGGGGGUCCUAUGGGGUGUAAUGGGGUGUAAUGGGGUCCUAUGGGGUGUAAUGGGGAUCCUAUGGGGUACAAUGGGGUCCUAUGGGGUGUAAUGGGGUCCUAUGGGGUAUAAUGGGGUCCUAUGGGGUGUAAUGGGGUCCUAUGGGGUAUAAUGGGGUCCUAUGGGGUGUAAUGGGGGUCCUAUGGGUUAUAAUGGGGGUCCUAUGGGGUGUGAUGGGGGUCCUAUGGGGUAUAAUGGGGUUCUAUGGGGUGUAAUGGGGUCCUAUGGGUUACAAUGGGGUCCUAUGGGGUGUGAUGGGGGUCCUAUGGGGUGUAAUGGGGGUCCUAUGGGGUAUAAUGGGGUCCUAUGGGGUGUAAUGGGGUCCUAUGGGGUAUAAUGGGGGUCCUAUGGGGCGUGAUGGGGGUCCUAUGGGGUGUAAUGGGGUCCUAUGGGGUAUAAUGGGGUCCUAUAGGGUUUAAUAGGGGUCCUAUGGGUUAUAAUGGGGGUCCUAUGGGGUUCUAUGGGGUGUAAUGGGGUCCUAUGGGGUGUAAUGGGGGUCCUAUGGGUUAUAAUGGGGGUCCUAUGGGGUGUAAUGGGGUCCUAUGGGGUGCAA
Molecule: long non-coding RNA, 1920 nt
Filed under: Coturnix japonica (Japanese quail)
Lineage: Eukaryota; Metazoa; Chordata; Aves; Galliformes; Phasianidae
Description: lncRNA (ENSCJPG00005002590.1)
Source: RNAcentral